This 255-nucleotide ribosomal RNA is filed under the name uncultured bacterium. RNAcentral's name for it is "partial 16S ribosomal RNA". It matches the Rfam family "Bacterial small subunit ribosomal RNA", at positions 793 to 1055 of the family's 1533-position model. The record is from RNAcentral.
GUCCACGCCGUAAACGAUGGAUACUAGCUGUUGGGGGUAACUUCAGUGGCUAAGCGAAAGUGAUAAGUAUCCCACCUGGGGAGUACGUUCGCAAGAAUGAAACUCAAAGGAAUUGACGGGGGCCCGCACAAGCGGUGGAGCAUGUGGUUUAAUUCGAUGAUACGCGAGGAACCUUACCAAGGCUUAAAUGUAGAUUGACAGAUUUGGAAACAGAUUUUUCUUCGGACAAUUUACAAGGUGCUGCAUGGUUGUCGU